RNAcentral lists this ribosomal RNA (253 nucleotides) under uncultured bacterium. RNAcentral's name for it is "partial 16S ribosomal RNA". It matches the Rfam family "Bacterial small subunit ribosomal RNA", at positions 524 to 776 of the family's 1533-position model. The record is from RNAcentral.
UACGUAGGGGGCAAGCGUUGUCCGGAUUUAUUGGGCGUAAAGAGCGUGUAGGCGGCUAGAUAGGUCCGUUGUGAAAACUCGAGGCUCAACCUCGAGACGCCGGUGGAAACCAUCUAGCUAGAGUCCGGAAGAGGAGAGUGGAAUUCCUGGUGUAGCGGUGAAAUGCGCAGAUAUCAGGAGGAACACCAAUGGCGAAGGCAGCACUCUGGGACGUGACUGACGCUGAGACGCGAAAGCGUGGGGAGCAAACAGG